RNAcentral lists this unclassified non-coding RNA (338 nucleotides) under Hevea brasiliensis (rubber tree). Lineage: Eukaryota; Viridiplantae; Streptophyta; Magnoliopsida; Malpighiales; Euphorbiaceae. The record is from RNAcentral.
AAAGUGCUCAAGAAUCCCAUUUCCGAGCCAAGAAAAUCAAAAGCAUAGCAUGUAUUUAAAAGGGAAAAUCUUUACAAAUGGAAGAGUUUUCAAUGGAGGUUAAAAAAUAGAAGAAAAGGCAAGAAAAUCAAAUCUUUUUACUGGGAAACGUAUCGAAUAGACAACAAAGAGCAGAGAAGGAGAAGAAGACCACCCCAAGAAACCGCCAAAACAGAAACCACGUAAGUAGUCCUUAAUCAGACAGGCUCCAUUUAUUUGAAAACCAAAAUCAAAAGGAAACUAAUAGAAAUACUUUUCUAAAGCCACAAUCUAUGAAAAAUAAUAAACUUCAAUUUGUU